AGGGCGUCCUCCCGCAGGAGCUCGGUCAGGUCGUUGCCCCUCCCGAGGGCUCGCACGGAGUCCAGGGUCCUCAGCUCCCUCCUCGAGGGCUCGGAGAGCUUAUUGAGGGUCUUCAACCGAGGGUUCCCCCACCUCGGGUCGAACCCCCAAGGCGCCUCGGACGCCAGGAAGAAAAACUUCCCCUUCCACUCAUGAAUCGAGGAAGGGGCACCCUGGAAGAGUGACA
RNAcentral lists this long non-coding RNA (226 nucleotides) under Phoenix dactylifera (date palm). Its description in RNAcentral is "long non-coding RNA (PDAC_LNC012014)". Lineage: Eukaryota; Viridiplantae; Streptophyta; Magnoliopsida; Arecales; Arecaceae. The record is from RNAcentral.